This 253-nucleotide ribosomal RNA is filed under the name uncultured bacterium. Its description in RNAcentral is "partial 16S ribosomal RNA". It matches the Rfam family "Bacterial small subunit ribosomal RNA", at positions 524 to 776 of the family's 1533-position model. The record is from RNAcentral.
UACAGAGGGGGCAAGCGUUGUUCGGAAUUACUGGGCGUAAAGGGCGCGUAGGCGGCCUUCUAAGUCGAACGUGAAAUCCCUGGGCUCAACCCAGGAACUGCGUCCGAUACUGGAAGGCUUGAAUCCGGGAGAGGGAUGCGGAAUUCCAGGUGUAGCGGUGAAAUGCGCAGAUAUCAGGAAGAACACCAAUGGCGAAAGCAGCUUUCUGGGACGGGACUGACGCUGAGACGCGAAAGCGUGGGGAGCGAACAGG